CAAGCUGAGCUGCCGUUUCUCAUCAUAGGUCAUGGGCAGGCCUUCCUCCUCCUCAUCCGAAUCAUAGGUUGCAGAUGCCUGUUUUCCUCCUUUCUUGGGCUGCCUGCUAGCUGUGGUCGUGCUGUUUGCCUUUUUAGCUGGGGCUUUCUUCUGCUGGGUUUGCUUCGGUGGUUGAGCCACCUUAGGCUUCUUCUCCUCCUCAGCUUUUACUUUGUGCUUUUCCUUUUCCUUCUCUUUGUCUUUCUUUUUCUUCUCUUUUUCCUUCUUCUCUUUUUUUUUCUUUGGUUUGUUCACUGGUGCUUGUGAUAACGCAGCUAGCUGCUCAUGGACUGCCUUUAGCUGCUCCUGGAGCUCUGC
RNAcentral lists this long non-coding RNA (357 nucleotides) under Gallus gallus (chicken). The record is from RNAcentral. Lineage: Eukaryota; Metazoa; Chordata; Aves; Galliformes; Phasianidae.